CGAGAAAAUCUAAUUUUUUUUCAUUUUCUACCCCUCUCUCUCACUCUAAACUCUCUCUAAACCCUCCCAAACCCUCCUAAAAGAUCUCUAAAUCUUUCAAGUUGAAUUCCUCCAAAUCAAAUCAAGAUUUCAUCUUAGGAAUUGGAAACUAGUUAGGAAAGGAUUAUAGUAUUUGGUGCUUGAUGUGUGGCUGAUUAUUGAAGCUUGGAGCUAGGAUUUUAGUUGAGUUUUCUGGGCAAUAAGGUAACGACGUGACAUUGGGGGAGAGCAAGUGAACGAUAACAUAGCUAAACGACAAAGGUAUGUGAGGCUAGUCCUUUCUUUCUAAUGGCAUGAAUCCUAUAGCAUAAGUUCCCUUCCUCUUAAUGAGUUCCUAUAUUCCGGAAAGCUAGAAGCUUAUAUCCAUAAAUAUCUAUAUAAGAUAAGAGAUAUGAUAUGAUGAUGCCAUAGUGAUAAUGAUGUUAUUUAUUGCUUACACUCACCUUAUGUUCUAAUUCCUUCAAGGUGAGGCAGAAUGUCAAUAAUUGCUCCAUAAUGAAAUCGGGAAAUCACGACCUUACAUCACCCCGAUAGAGUAUAGUUGAUCUUGAGUCUUAUGCAUGUACUAUGAUAAGCAUAUUAUGAUAAUCAUAUUAUUACAAGUAUUUUUGAUGAGCAUGUCAUGAUCAUAUUACACCGCGCCUAGUUGGCCGGGCAGUCACCGCUAAGGCGGGCAGCUAUACGGAUACACCAUGACCUUUUGGCAUGGGCAGACACCACUAGUGGGCGGCAUGAGAUGGUACCCCGGACGCGGGCUAAUGUUAUUGAUUAUCAUACCGUUCCGAUAUGGUCGUGCAUUUAUAUACAUAUGUGUUAUGCAUACAUGAGAUGUUGAGUAUGGAAGUAAGUCGCACGCAAGUAUGCCUCUAUGAUUCAUAGUUAGUUACAGAUUAUACCUUAUUUUAUUGAUGCCUCCCUAUUUCAUUGAUGUAUUAUUAUUGAUUAUGCCUCUCAUACUCAGUAUAAUAUUCGUACUGACGUCCGUUUUCUUGGACGUUGUGUUCAUGCCCACAGGUAGACAAGGAGACGAUCUUGAUCCAGGUGCAUAGGAGUUAGCGGCUGAUUUGAGAGCACUCCAUUGUUCGGAAGUGCUUAUGGUUAUUCUGUUGUGUAUAUCUAUGUAUAUUUUGGGCAUGACGGAGUCUUGUUCCGCGUAUAUGUAUAGUACUUCAGUAGAGGCUCGUAGGUACGCAGUGUGUGUAGUAUGGUCUCACAGUUUUUACGUAGAUGCAUACUACUAUUUUGAUAGCCUAAGGGCUUAUGUUUAUAAAAGUACGAUUUCUAGCA
Lycium ferocissimum is the source of this 1326-nucleotide long non-coding RNA. RefSeq lists it as uncharacterized. The record is from RefSeq and is a predicted model, not a curated record. The transcript has 2 exons. NCBI's taxonomy places the organism in Eukaryota, Viridiplantae, Streptophyta, Magnoliopsida, Solanales, Solanaceae.